GGGAAAGACCGGUGCCAGCCGCCGCGGUAAUACCGGCAGUUCAAGUGGCAUCCAUUUUUAUUGGGUCUAAAACAUCCGUAGCUUGUUAUUUAAGUCUCCUGUGAAAUCUAAUAUCUCAAGUAUUAGGCUUGCGGGAGAUACUGAAUAGCUUGAGACCGGUAGGCGUAAGGAGUACGAGGAAGGUAGUGGUAAAAUACGUUAAUCUUCUUUGGACUAACAAUUAGCGAAGGCACCUUACGAGGACGGAUCUGACAGUGAGGGAUGAAGGCCAGGGGCGCAAAACGGAUUAGAUACCCGUGUAGUCCUGGCAGUAAACACUGUUCACUAAACAUCGGGCCCUCUUCGGGAGGAUUCGGUGCUGAAGGGAAGCCGAAGAGUGAACUACCUGGGAAGUAUAGUCGCAAGGUCGAAACUUAAAGGAAUUGGCGGGGGAGCACAA
RNAcentral lists this ribosomal RNA (439 nucleotides) under uncultured archaeon. RNAcentral's name for it is "bacterial SSU rRNA". It matches the Rfam family "Archaeal small subunit ribosomal RNA", at positions 444 to 881 of the family's 1478-position model. The record is from RNAcentral.